AAAAAUAAAAAUGAUAGAAAAAAUCGUCUCCCCCCUUGCCGUUCCCCCUUCCCCCUUGCCCCUUCCCCCUUGCCGUUCCCCCUUUCCCCUUGCCAAGCGAUCUUCCUAGCGAUCUUCCCCCUUGCCCCCCGAUCUUCCCCCUUGCCCCCCCGAAAUCCCUAGCGAUUUCCCCCCUUGCAGGCAAAUCCCUAGCGAAGAGAAGGUCGCUCGUUCGCCCUCCAGCGAACGAGCGAGCUAACGCAAUCAGCGAGUGAAUCGCGCGAAGUAGAAGCAUCCGUUUGAUCGCAAGUCGAAGGGAAAGCUGCCUGACCGCGAGCGAAGGCAUGUCAGCAAGCGCGAGCGAGCCCGGUCGGCGAGAAGUCCGGUGCCAGCGAGUGAGCGAGCCAUGCCAACGCGCGAGUUGAAGUCCGGCCACUGACCGCGAGCGAGCCCUGGCGGCGAUAGGGCGGCGAUCGACCGAGAAAGAGGGAUUGGAAGAGAGCGAGCAUGCGAGAGCGAGAAAUGGGGAGCGAGCGAGGUCAUCUCAGAUCAGCAGCACUCCACGCCUAGCUUCCAGUUCAAAUCUACUCCCUAACCUCUUUUUUAACUUGAUCGAAGGACCUCGAGUGAGACCUCGGCUCCACGCCUUCCAGUGACCGCGAAUGAGAUCAUUUCGCGAGCAACAGUUUUCCACAUCCGACGAGCGACAGAUACAACUACCAGAAGAUAGGAGGAAAUCUCGUUAUUGGUUUUUGACCUUCAAGCCGAGGAUUAGCACGCCACAUCUAUUCCAUAUAUCUUAUCUACUUUUAGUUGUUUAGUUAAUUGACUUGUAAUCUUUUAAUUUUCUGUUUAAUCAAAAUCGCCUUUUACAAAAAAAAAAAAAAAAAAAAAAAAAAAAAAAAAAUGAUAGAAUUUUAGAAAGUCCAGACUUGAACACCCA
Molecule: long non-coding RNA, 922 nt
Filed under: Zostera marina
Lineage: Eukaryota; Viridiplantae; Streptophyta; Magnoliopsida; Alismatales; Zosteraceae
Description: long non-coding RNA (ZMAR_LNC005907)
Source: RNAcentral